UAGAGUUUGAUCCUGGCUCAGAUUGAACGCUGGCGGCAGGCCUAACACAUGCAAGUCGAGCGGUAACAGAUCUAGCUUGCUAGAUGCUGACGAGCGGCGGACGGGUGAGUAAUGCAUAGGAAUCUGCCCGAUAGUGGGGGAUAACCUGGGGAAACCCAGGCUAAUACCGCAUACGUCCUACGGGAGAAAGGGGGCUUCGGCUCCCGCUAUUGGAUGAGCCUAUGUCGGAUUAGCUAGUUGGUAAGGUAAUGGCUUACCAAGGCAACGAUCCGUAGCUGGUCUGAGAGGAUGAUCAGCCACAUCGGGACUGAGACACGGCCCGAACUCCUACGGGAGGCAGCAGUGGGGAAUAUUGGACAAUGGGGGCAACCCUGAUCCAGCCAUGCCGCGUGUGUGAAGAAGGCCCUCGGGUUGUAAAGCACUUUCAGCGAGGAAGGACGCCUGUCGGUUAAUACCCGGUAGGAAAGACAUCACUCGCAGAAGAAGCACCGGCUAACUCCGUGCCAGGCAGCCGCGGUAAUACGGAGGGUGCAAGCGUUAAUCUGAAUUACUGGGCGUAAAGCGCGCGUAGGUGGCUUGAUAAGCCGGUUGUGAAAGCCCCGGGCUCAACCUGGGAACGGCAUCCGGAACGGUCAGGCUAGAGUGCAGGAGAGGAAGGUAGAAUUCCCGGUGUAGCGGUGAAAUGCGUAGAGAUCGGGAGGAAUACCAGUGGCGAAGGCGGCCUUCUGGACUGACACUGACACUGAGGUGCGAAAGCGUGGGUAGCAAACAGGAUUAGAUACCCUGGUAGUCCACGCCGUAAACGAUGUCGACCAGCCGUUGGGUGCCUAGAGCACUUUGUGGCGAGGUUAACGCGAUAAGUCGACCGCCUGGGGAGUACGGCCGCAAGGUUAAAACUCAAAUGAAUUGACGGGGGCCCGCACAAGCGGUGGAGCAUGUGGUUUAAUUCGAUGCAACGCGAAGAACCUUACCUACCCUUGACAUCUACAGAAGCCGGAAGAGAUUUUGGUGUGCCUUCGGGAACUGUAAGACAGGUGCUGCAUGGCUGUCGUCAGCUCGUGUUGUGAAAUGUUGGGUUAAGUCCCGUAACGAGCGCAACCCUUGUCCUUAUUUGCCAGCACGUAAUGGUGGGAACUCUAAGGAGACUGCCGGUGACAAACCGGAGGAAGGUGGGGACGACGUCAAGUCAUCAUGGCCCUUACGGGUAGGGCUACACACGUGCUACAAUGGCCGGUACAAAGGGCUGCGAGCUCGCGAGAGUCAGCGAAUCCCUUAAAGCCGGUCUCAGUCCGGAUCGGAGUCUGCAACUCGACUCCGUGAAGUCGGAAUCGCUAGUAAUCGUGAAUCAGAAUGUCACGGUGAAUACGUUCCCGGGCCUUGUACACACCGCCCGUCA
Molecule: ribosomal RNA, 1396 nt
Filed under: uncultured bacterium
Lineage: Bacteria
Description: bacterial SSU rRNA
Rfam family: Bacterial small subunit ribosomal RNA
Source: RNAcentral